RNAcentral lists this unclassified non-coding RNA (3166 nucleotides) under Helicoverpa zea (corn earworm). RNAcentral's name for it is "uncharacterized LOC124641429, transcript variant X4". The record is from RNAcentral. Lineage: Eukaryota; Metazoa; Arthropoda; Insecta; Lepidoptera; Noctuidae.
GCACCGGCCUUGCGCACUCGCGUCUUAAGACGACUCGCUCCCGUACGUAAAACUGAACUUUAGUACCCCGUGAUAAAGGUGAAAUUAGAAUAACAAGUGAUAAGGAAAAACUGUGCCUGUGAGUGAAUAAUUUUGGAUUUUGUGAAAUUUGUGCCGUGAGGUCGCAUUUUUUUUUUCUAAAUUGCAUGUGGUACAUCAAUACUCAAAACUACAAUAAAAUGGAAGGACUGAAUACGAAGUGGUGAACUCAACUACAACAGAUAUAGAGUAUAGUGUCAAGUGAAGGUUGCCAGACAGAAUGCCAGACACACUAUCCUUGUCAGCCAGCGUAAGUCUCGGCUUACUGGCUGGAAUCGUGUCUGGAGUAUGUUACCUAGUAGCUAAUGGGAUGACGUGGCCUAAGAACGACCGUAGCAGAAGAUGCGUGACGGCGUCUCAGGACGACGGCGUGUGUCGUAGCUGCGGUGGUGACAAGUACGGAGGAGCUCUGCCCUGCAUCUGCUAUCCUCAGGAGCCGGUGAAGUUCGAGUCGGGCGCGUGGUUCCUGCAGCAGGUGCACCGAGCCAUCAGCGUGAUGCCGUGGAGCGUGUCCAGUGAGAAGCUCGAGCAAAUAGACGAAGAAUGCGACGGCUUCGACGCCCCAGGGCCGAGCAACGCCACCCAAGGAGAACUAAGGAAGAUCAGAGAGUUCCUGGAGACCAUCUCUGCAAAGUUAGCCGGCGGGCCGCUAGAGAGCACUAGAGUCGCGCCGCUGUACGACCAUCCAGCAUAUCUUCCCGCGCCCCGAAACGCAUCACCCGCUCCGUCGGGCCACAGCGCGAGCGGAGCGCACGUUCAGCUCAAACGUCUAGUCGCUCGAGUAGUAGAGGAAGCGGCUUCACUGCCAGCCCUCGCAAGAUAUGCUUCGGAGCCCCACACGCCGACCAUCGAGUCUUCGACAUACGAAGACUUGCUGGCUACGGCGAUUUUGAAUAAGGUGAUAGAGCGCUACCAGAACGAGAAUGGUUCUGGAGGACGCAGCAGCGGCAUACACUCAGCGAGUGCCAGUCCGACGCCUUCGGAGCGCUCCUCACCACGCUCUCUGCCCUCCAGGCACACCAGGAACGUCACACCUCCACUCCAUGAAGAAGACGAUGUGUCUGACUGGGAGGAGGGCGACGCGACCGACGAAGCACUAGAAGUGCCGCGCCGCGUGCCCUUCCCGGAGUUCGGGGGAGACAUCGUGCACAACACAGAUAAUGAGGAUCGCGAGUUCGACGAAGUUUCCAGUAGCGACCUGCAGGCAGUCGACGGAACUUGGGAAGAGAACUGGCUGUUCCAGAAGAAGAAGAUAAAGACCAUACAGUCCGUGCCAGUGCCUAUGCUAGUUCCAAACUCAAACACAGAAUACAGAGCCCUGAUUGGCGACAGAGAUGCAGAUGACACCACAGACCUGUCAGACAACGCAAGCGACUCAGAGGAACAAGCAGAAUACAAGAGUGACAUGAAAAAAGUUCUAGACUCAAAACACGUAAUAGGCGGCAAACCCAAAGUUGAAGAAAAUGACUUUGAACCAGACAGUCUCACCAUUAUCGAAGGAGCAGACGAAUUUGACAAGCUCGUCGAGAAAAUAGAUGACGACGCAACAGUAGACGCGAUCAUUAACGAAAUUAAUGAAAACAACGUUACUAUUGUUGAAACUAACGGAGUGAACUCGACAGACCAAGUCGAUGGCGGUAAAUUAGUGAUCAGCAUUGACAGCGGGCCAUUAACGAAGGCAGAAUUCGCGGUAAAAGAGGAAAUACACAGGACAUUAUUGAACGGAAAUGCAGAAGACUUUAUGAAUGAUUUAUGUGCUAAAACUAAUGGAGACAUUUACAAUGGGCAUGCAAAUGAAUUGCAUAGUGUUGAUAGCUUCACUAGUAACAAAGAAUCGACAAACACCCUGAACCACCAGGAGCGUGAGGGAGAGUACGAGGAGACGGUGACGGUGCCCGUGCAGCGGUAUGCAGACAGUCUGCGCAGGAAACACUUCGAUGACGGUCCACACGAGAUGCCAACUCGUGACACAGACCAAGACGAUGAAUUAAUACCAGGUUCAAUAGCCUACAGAGAGCGCAAAAAAUGGCUGAACUACGUAGAAAUGCCGAACAAUCCAUAUUCCCCAGAGGCCAUUCAAAAAAGGUUGUCAGCCAAAAACACAUCGACACUUUUCGACAUGUUCACAUCUAAAAAGGAUUCUGAAGACGAAAGUCUCAAAAUUGAGAUAAAUGAAACAGAUGACUAUGAAAGUGAAACUAAUGAUCUUCCAGUUAAAGAAAUUCAGCAUAAUAAAUUAAGUUUAACUAUGAGUAAUGAUAGUAUUAAUAGUAUUGAUAAGACAAAUAAGAGUCCGUCGCCUAGAAUAUUGAAGGAUGUGAUGGCUGAGGAAAUUCCACAGUAUAAGCGUUACGGACGCGACUAUUACAUAAGAGAGGCGAAGGCGUCGUCCGGCGGCCGGCACAGAGCCAGUGCGGACGAGGCCAGCACGGUGUCCGCCCCCUCCCUCAACAAAUCCACCAGUUUAGACAAUUUCGACGCAGAGUUCGCGUCGCCUGUAAGUGCCAGCAGCUCGUUGAGCGACCUCGAGGCCUCCGCCCUUCAUCACAACAUCGUCCGCAACGUCCUCAGCCCGAGGAAUGCGAGCCCCAACUUCGCCAUAAACCCCAUUUUCGAAAACCCCGAUAGACAAAACGAUAACGCUGACGAGAAUCAUGCGACGAACGACAGUCGCUUCGGUCGAAACGCCAACGUAAGACACCAAUGUAGAACUGUGUGCGACGGUGACGGUUAUGUGGAAAACGAGGAUAUAGUUAGACUUAAAAUACCGAAAAUCCCCGAGAUUACUGAAGAUCUUUUCGAGACAUACACCGCCGUCCGGCGGAGCGGCACGUUGCGCAGCGCCGACGUCCCGCGCCGCCGCGUGGCCCUCGCGCGCUACGGCGGCAGCCUCAGGUUAAGCAAGGCCUUCCGCGCCGACGUCUGGUGACAGCCGCACCCCGCACCCACUGACCGACUUCUCAAUCUCUGAAUCUCCUACUGUGGAUUACUUAUAAAACAAUUCAACCAGAUAGCGACGAACCAACACUACACUAAGUUCGCUAACAAAGAUGACAUGGCAUCACUCACUACCACUGUAAACAAUAAA